AUCACAGCAGUGGGGAGUCUGGAAGGGACUGCAGAAGGCAUGGCCAGGGCUUUGGAAUGGUAUGACUGACCAGCAGAGAGACCUCCUCCCCUCCCGGGAUCCUCUAGGCACCCCUCCCCAGGUAGGAAUCUGUUAAGGAUGAGGUGUGUCCACAACCAGAAGAGAUCAUAGGAAUGAGGGAAGCAGUGAAGCCUGUUUCCCUGUCAAAGCCAGAGGGCCAGUGUGAUCCAGGAGGGAAGGCACUGGAAUGAGCGACAAGAGACCUGUUUUCUUCCUGGCCUCAUAACUGCUGUGCCACGUUGGGCCCACCUCUCCCUUUCUCUGAGCCUCAGAUGCCCCAUCUGCCAAAUCCUGGAUUGGGCCAGCUGCCCUCCCCAGGGACCUUUCAUCUGUUAUAGAAGGUGAUUCUGGUGCACCUUGCAUGUGGGCCUGUGACAAGAAAUGAACUGCCGUGUAGCACAGAGGUGAAAUGAAUCAGAUAUUCAUGCAAGAAACUGGCCAACAGGCUCACCUGAGAGUCUCCACAGGGUCACGAUGUCGCUACCUAGAGGGAAUCUGUCUUUAUUUAUUGGCUCUUUCCUGUGCAGAAUGCAAGGGAGUCUCCCUCCGGCUGAGACCCCCGGGAAGGAGGCCACAUGUGGAGGUGACUUGAACCAGGACGGCAGGAACCUGGGGUCCCCGGGGGGCUCCGGACAGAGGUCAUGGUGGAAACCCUGGGAGGUGGGGUUGCCGUUAGGAUUUUCUCCUGGCCACGUGGCGCAUGUGUGGCUGAGCCUGGGACCGGACCCUUCCCUGAACACCGAGCUGCGCUUCUACAGAGCUCUCAGCCUUGCUGCGGGAUCCAGCAGCCACCCACUCCUGAGUACCCCAAUCCCCCUCCUCUGAACUCCUCUGUCCCACUCACAUGGGAGCAGCCACCUCAUCUUACAGAGGGAGGAACUGAGGGCAGAGGGGUGGCCCGACUUGGCCGGAGUCCGGCGGGGUGGGAGCAGCAGGGCUAGGCCUUGAAUGCAGGUCUCUGGAUUCCCGACAGGGUGCCCCCGGCCCAGCUGCCAGUCCCCCUUGCCUCUGCUGAGCCCAUCCUUGCAGGGCCCACCACCUGCCUCUCUGAGUCUGCAUCACAUCUCCUGGAGGGUAGAGAGCACCGCUAGCACCUUUCUGGGGCCCUGGGCGUCCCGCGUGGCAAUGGGCAUACCAUGGUGCCCAGCAACCCUCAGCAGACAGAAUUAGCCACUGGCUUUAGAGACCGACCAUGUCUCCGAGAAGACUCUGAUGAACUGAGGGGGCGACUUGGCAGACUCAGGUUGGGGAGCUGAAGAGUCACUGUGCUACAGUGGAAAGAACCCUGGCCUGGGAGUCAGGGUUGAGUCCAUGCCUGGCUGGGCUAUACAUCAGUGACCCUGGAGAUGUGUCCCCUUCUCUGGGCUUCAGGUUCCCCAUGAGUCCAACAAGGGGCUGGAGGAACUCCCUGACCUCUGGUGCCCCUGCAGCUCUAGCAACCCAUAGCUUUAGGCACUACCAGUGUCCCCAGCAAGACCACGGACAGAGCCGAAAGUGGCAGUGCAUUACCCCUUGCUCCUGACAGAUCUGCGUCAGCCUCUCCAGCUGCUCGUCUUGGAUGACCUUGGCCUUCUCAUACUGCUGGAUAACCAUCUCCAUCUCCAGCUUCACUGGCAGGACGUAGGCUGGAAGACAGAGACAGCCCUGUAAAGAAUUCAGCAGUGGCAGGGCUUGGACUGGGGAAGGGCGGGCCCAGCAUUCAGGCAGCAGCAGGUUCGAGGCCCUGGGCCAUUUCUGUGGAUCUAGAAGGGGAAAUGUCCAGGUACCCGACAGCAUCCAGAAAGUACAGAGGGCCACAACCUUCGCUCAUGGUGUCCAGGGUAGCUGUUUUCCUGUUUUCCAUAGUGCUAGAACCCAUACUUUUGGGCUGUGUGCACAGCUGCCUGGAAUAAAGACUAUUUUCCAGCCUCCUUUGCAGCUAUGGGUGGCCACAAGACCACCUUCUGGACCAUAGGAUGCUAGUGGAGGUGGCAUGCAGCAGCUGCAGGAGCCUUCUUCACAAAGGAGCUGGGGCCAGUGAGGAUGGGGCGGCCCUGGAGCCUGCACACACUGGCGGAAAGGAAAACGGUGCAACCACUUAGGGAAACGGUUUGUCCGUUUUUCAGAGUGUUAAACAGAGAGUGACCAUAUGACCCAGAAAUUCCAUUCCUAGGUACCUUAGGGGAAGGAAAACGUGUCUACACAAAACUCACACAUGAGCAUUCAUAACAGCAUUAUUCCUAACAGUCAAAAAGUAGACAUAACCCAAAUGUUCAUCAGCCGAUGAAUGCGUGAAUAAACUGUGGUCUAGC
Molecule: non-coding RNA, 2351 nt
Filed under: Pan troglodytes (chimpanzee)
Lineage: Eukaryota; Metazoa; Chordata; Mammalia; Primates; Hominidae
Source: RNAcentral